Molecule: long non-coding RNA, 1277 nt
Filed under: Arabidopsis lyrata
Lineage: Eukaryota; Viridiplantae; Streptophyta; Magnoliopsida; Brassicales; Brassicaceae
Description: long non-coding RNA (ALYR_LNC002252)
Source: RNAcentral
UUUAAAUGUCACAUUUUCACACACUUUAAAGAAACACAACAAUAAAUAAUAUUAAAACUAAUUAAAAAAAAAAAAACUAAAAACACUCAUAAAUCAUCACUAAAAAUCUAAUAUAGUUGCUAGUAGCGCCUUUUGAUCCGGUCUUUUGUGUUUUAGCCUUCGUCUCGUUUAGCCUCUCACCAGAUGUGGUGGUUGCUUUAGAUUCUAUCUGGUUCGAUCUCUUGCCGUUUAUCUUGUUCGAGUGUGAUCUGGAUUGAUUUGGUUCUCCUUGUCUCUACUCUAAAGAUCUGGUCCAAAAUCUCAUCUGUUCAUUGGUUGGUUUCUUUCGAGGCGUUAAACAAUCAUAUUCUUUGAUUUCGCCGCUUCCGAGAGUGUUGGUGUGAUAUUGAUGUCUUUGGUCUAGACCCCCUCUUGCCGGUAUGGAUUCCUUAGAACUCGUCUAUGUGAGGUAGUAGUCUUCAUCGUAAUAGGUAGUACCGCUGUCCGUUUGGUUGGAAGUUCCUUACCCCCUACGGAGUGGCUCGUCGUAAAGCUUUUCCUUUAUUUUGUUUGGUAAUGGGAUUGACGAGAUGUUGUGGUUAAAUGUCGGGUUAUAUUGAACUGCUUCUUUGUUUCAAUUUCGGAAUUGUUUUCAUGUUUUUCUAAGGCUUGUUUUACCUUGUUGUUUUCCUUUUCUUUAGGCUUUGCUUCCGAAAUUAUCUCUUUAAUCGUCUGCUUAAGUUUCUGGGGUUAUUUGUUAACCAUCGGCUUAGUGUUUCAUCCUUGUAUUUUAUCUUGAUGGCUAUAAAAAUCUUUCAGACGAAAAAAAAAAAAAUUUGUUAAUAUAUAUACAUCUGCUUUACAAUCAUUGAGUAAAGUUUUUUUUUCAAUCUUCUGCUGCAGUCACAAACGUAAAAUGAUUGCAAGAUCGAAGUUUGUUUACAGACUGAAUUACCCUUGCUAUAAAAUAAGAUUAUCAUCAAAUUUAAUUAGUAUAUAAAGUAGGUUUUGAUAAGAUUCUUUUGUUUUCUUUUUUCUUUAUCACCUCGAGAUUUCCAAUUUUAUUUGAUUAAAUAAAAAGGAUAUAUAAAAAUUAGCCUAAAACUGGCUCCUUUAAUUAUUAUUUUAUCACACAUUUUUAACCAUUUUGAACAUAGUUGCUUCUAUCUACCUAAUUAACUCAAUAAUUAAUUACUAUUAUAUUUCUUUAGAAUGUAAAUGAAAAAUUAUCAUAAAAUAACAUGCAAAUAUUUAUGUUGAUGCAUAAAAAUACAAUAUAUUUUCUUAUUUGUCAAAGA